UACGGGGGGGGCAAGCGUUGUUCGGAAUUACUGGGCGUAAAGGGCUCGUAGGCGGUUCGUCGCGUCGGCUGUGAAAACCCGAGGCUCAACCUCGGGCCUGCAGUCGAUACGGGCGGACUGGAGUUCGGCAGGGGAGACUGGAAUUCCUGGUGGUAGCGGUGAAAUGCGCAGGAUAUCAAGGAGGAACACCGGUGGCGAAGGCGGGUCUCGUGGGCCGAUGACUGACGCUGAGGAGCGAAAGCGUGGGGAGCGAACAGG
This 258-nucleotide ribosomal RNA is filed under the name uncultured bacterium. Its description in RNAcentral is "partial 16S ribosomal RNA". It matches the Rfam family "Bacterial small subunit ribosomal RNA", at positions 524 to 776 of the family's 1533-position model. The record is from RNAcentral.